Molecule: long non-coding RNA, 352 nt
Filed under: Volvox carteri
Lineage: Eukaryota; Viridiplantae; Chlorophyta; Chlorophyceae; Chlamydomonadales; Volvocaceae
Description: long non-coding RNA (VCAR_LNC003944)
Source: RNAcentral
GGAUAUCGAUUGGUCGGGAAGGCAGAUAUGUUCGUUCUGCUGUAGGCAAGCGCUGCUGUUAGCGAUGAAAAAUGUGAUUUUUAUAAAUAAAAGGAGUGUCAGUCUGUCAGUGAGUAAAUGGGGGAUGAUAGCUUCGCCGUGGUAUCGGAAUUAAUUGUCGUUCGCACCCAGAGCGCGGAACGAAGACGCCGAUCGACGGCGACAGGUGACAGGCGACAGGCGCUGGAGAACGCCCUGCGAGGAAACGCACGUUGCUACACCGGAAGAUUAUGCCUGCGAACAGAUAUAAUUACCGGGAUGUACUCGUCCGUCGAGAUUGCAUGCGGCGGCUCAGCUUUCAGUAGUCUCAAAA